Molecule: non-coding RNA, 74 nt
Filed under: Chattonella subsalsa
Lineage: Eukaryota; Raphidophyceae; Chattonellales; Chattonellaceae
Source: RNAcentral
GAACUUAGGGAAUAAGAAAUAGAUAUAUAUUUUUAUUUUUUCGUUUUUUUUUUUUUUUACUCUCCAUUCUUCGU